GCCCGUCAGCUCCGAACACACCUCACAGCAAGUCAGCUGGCAGUGGAGAACAUCACCUUAGCUCUGCUGAUGCCAGAUCUGUAUUGCUGUUUGUGUGCUAGCUGAUGGUGUUGAAGGUUGCUUUAGAAUGACUCAGCAGAGCUGUGAGCUGCAGGAUGGAUUCUGAAGCAACUGCGGGGCUGAAAAUGGCUUUUUUCAUGUAUUGAUGUAGUGCA
Pseudonaja textilis is the source of this 215-nucleotide non-coding RNA. NCBI's taxonomy places the organism in Eukaryota, Metazoa, Chordata, Lepidosauria, Squamata, Elapidae. The record is from RefSeq and is a predicted model, not a curated record.